RNAcentral lists this long non-coding RNA (1339 nucleotides) under Coturnix japonica (Japanese quail). RNAcentral describes it as "lncRNA (ENSCJPG00005001474.1)". Lineage: Eukaryota; Metazoa; Chordata; Aves; Galliformes; Phasianidae. The record is from RNAcentral.
GAGAAGAAAGUAAUCCUACUUAUGUGAUCACUCACUUUAUUUUUUUUAAUGACAGUUUGGAGAAAAGUUAGCGGCAGACCGUCAGGACUGCAUUUGCCUGGAAGGUGGAAGUGGCAUCGUAUGCGAACCUCACAGAUGUCCCGAACAAAAUAAGAGGACUCGUUCUGGGAAAGGCUUCUAUGAAGUCACUGAAGUCAAGUCUGAAGAUCCCUGCUUGCAUAUGCAUCACAAGUUUGUGCACAACUAAACCCCCCAUGUGUAUGCUGGGAUUUGAAGUUUAUUCUUAUAUUCCUGGUGAUGAGUGCUGUCCCGUGUACCAGUGUGGUAAGUCCUUUGGAAAUACAUUUAAAUGAUUAGCUUUAUAUAUAAUGUAAUUUAGUUUUAGAUUUAAUGAGACUGCAUGCAGUACCCUAAUGAAAGAAGUCAGAUUCCAUGAAUCGGUUACUGCUAACUGUGGUUACUACUAUUAUGUUAAUACAACUGUNNNNNNNNNNNNNNNNNNNNNNNNNAAAAGGUUUAUGUGAGUAGAGAGUUGUUUUUAAAUGUCAGUACCAGAGAGCGAUUUGGUUUUAGGGUGAAGCGUUUAUGCAUUUUAGAAAGUCAGUCUGUGUUUACUGUCAGCUCUUCAUUUCAAUUUUAAUGCAUUCAGAAAUGAAAAGAUUUGUAAAGAAGGAAUAUUCUGAGCAGAUGUAGAUCCCUAGUAAUUUCUUUAAGGUCUAGUAAAUAUUUACUUACGUAUGUUUAUAUGACUCCUUUGCUUUUAAUAUCCGAAUUUAUCUUUGUUAUGUAGGACUUCAAUCAAGACAUGUGAAGUUUAAUUCAGUAUUAUUUGUCUUCAUAAAUAGCUAGACAAAUAUAUAUUUCCAGUUAUGUUCACAGUGGAUUCUUAUUCCAUUGCUUGGUUUUGAGGUUUUUGGGGAAUUAAAAAAUGUCUGUCACAUGUCAUAUCUCAUUAAUAUGUGGACCUUUGUUUCUUUAAAUUGAUAGCCUAAUUCCUCAGUCUUCAUUGAUAAGUGUCACGAUCACUUUUGCACUCACUAAGUUAACUCCAGCACUCAACUGAAUGUCAUCUCCUGUCAACAUAUUCCAUGCAAAGCAUACUGUGAACCAGUAAGUGACUAAUGUUAAACUACAGAACUAGCAAACAAAUAUAAUACCCAUGUCCAUGACAGAUGCUAUGGUCAAUGAGUUACAUAUGUUAUGUAUGGGGGGCAGAAAGCGAGAACCUGGCUACGGUGUGGACACCAACUGUCCCUGAGCCGUCUAUUUUGUGUAGUUUGAUAGUAUAACCAACAGUUCACCUCGGGAGGAGUAGCUAAUAAAUGUCUGUAGUAAUGCA